ACGUAAUAGAUACCCGGGUAGUCCACGCCCUAAACGAUGUCUACUAGUUGUUGGUGGAGUAAAAUCCAUGAGUAAACGCAGCUAAACGCGUGAAGUAGACCGCCUGGGGAGUACGGUCGCAAGAUUAAAACUCAAAGGAAUUGACGGGGGCCCGGCACAAGCGGUGGAUUAUGUGGAUUAAUUCGAUGCAACGCGAAAAACCUUAACCUGGCCUUGACAUGCCACUAACGAAGCAGAGAUGCAUUAGGUGCCCGUAACGGGAAAGUGGCACAGGUGCUGCAUGGCUGUCGUCAGCUCGUGUCGUGAGAUGUUGGGUUAAGUCCCGCAACGAGCGCAACCCUUGCCAUUAAUUGCCAUCAUUA
This 362-nucleotide ribosomal RNA is filed under the name uncultured bacterium. RNAcentral describes it as "bacterial SSU rRNA". It matches the Rfam family "Bacterial small subunit ribosomal RNA", at positions 773 to 1126 of the family's 1533-position model. The record is from RNAcentral.